Molecule: long non-coding RNA, 542 nt
Filed under: Rattus norvegicus (Norway rat)
Lineage: Eukaryota; Metazoa; Chordata; Mammalia; Rodentia; Muridae
Description: long non-coding RNA NONRATT019512
Source: RNAcentral
CUCUCUCUGGCUCCGGUUCUCCUACAUGGAAGAAGAUGAUUGAUGAGGCUGUUAGCUUCCAGAAUCACAGGAUUAGAUACUUUACAGUGUGACCUGGGGCAGACAGACAGAUGGGCAGGCACAUGCACACGAGUGCGCGCGCCCACGCAAAUGAAACAAAAGUCUCAUCAAACAGUACUUGUCACACACCUUUGGCUCUUUAUGUGGUGGUGCUCUGUCUUCUCCCUCUACAGUGGUUUCUUAAUCGAUCGGAGAGGUGCAACACAAACCAUUGGCUUAGCUCCUCACUGUGCUCUGGGAAAAUUCCAUUUACAACCAGUUUAUAGCCCACUGCCUUUUCCCCCAAAGGGAACACACGUGGAUCUCAGUGUUGUAGGCAGAAAAGACUUAAAGGGAUGAAUGAAGAUUCAAGAUGUAGAUGAGAGAACCAGCCAGUCAGCAUCUUCCACAGGGUCUUCUCAUAAACACUUCUGAAUGUAGGAGGUAACUUUUAGUCUGCUCUAAGCAUGUGUGAGUAAAUAAUGCUGUGGCUUAAAACAAAA